UUUUCCCCAAGCAAACAUAGCCCUAGGGAAUUAAUUUAAAUGAUUCCUAUAGUAACACUCCAUAAAUGCUACUUUGAAAAUAAUCAUUUAUUAUAUAAUAUAAUAUUAGAAAUAUUGAUAUAGGUUAUUAGAGUACCUUCUAGCAGAGUCAUCUAAAUUUAUAAAAUAAAAAAGUGGGGCCACAUUCAGUGACAUCAGCCAGCUGAAUAUUGGACACAUGAUUUAAGGAAAAGGGGCGCAGAUGUUUUCUUGAAAGGACAUUGAGAAAUACAAGGGGCAUUGGAAGGCUGAAAGGCUUGAUAUGGAAAGUUGAAACCACCAGCCAGCCGACACUCAAGUCCAUGGUUUUGGCAUCAAAACAGUGAGAAAAUUAAAAACCCACAUCCAAAACAGCUGGCUCUUUAACUUCUUCCAAUCCCUUCUCUCCCUCUUUAUAUCAAACAUGGUUACUCACAAAACCCUCAAACCAACCCCCCACCCCCCCAUUAUCAAGUUUCAUGGCUUCUCUUGUUCUUCUCUUGUCUGAACUUCUCAAACCCCAAACCACUGACCCAUAUGCUGCAACAUCACUGCCUUCUUCAUGUUCUUCUUCUUCUUCCUCAAAUGCCAAAAGGGUGACAGCAGAGUACUCCACCAUGGUUGAUCAAGAACCCAAGGAGGAGAUGAGGGUCUCUGUGGAGCUGGUUUGGCCUUAAAAAUUGGGUUAUGGUCACAUAGUCUGUGUAUAGAGUUCUUCAACUGGUUAGUCAGCUCUGGAUAUUUGCAAUGUAAUUUUGAUUGACUGCUUCUUGUUUAUCAGCCAUUUUCAAUUUUGUUGUAUAUCUUUCUCCUCCACCCGAUCCUUUUCUUUUCUCUCGAAUCCUCCUGGAUACAUAUGGAUUGAUUCAUGGAAAUUUGUGGAAAAACAUUUAUUUAAAGAAAAUCAAUAUCAUCCAAAGGACACAUGCAAGCUUUUCGAACAUAAAAAAAAUGAAGAGAAAAUUAGAUAAGUUGGAUAAUAAAAUAAUAAAUAUUACCAAUUUAUUUUUAUUUAAAAAAUAAUCAAACAAUAAAAUGAAUUAAAAAAUGGAUUACUAUCUUCAUUAUCUUAAUUACAAGUAAAUUUUGUAAUGCCAAGACUUAUAAUGAAUCCAUCUCAAUCUUGUAAGGCUUCUUCUCCUUCAGCAUCUCUCUCACAGCUUCCCUCAAAUCCUCUUCUUCCUCUUCCCCCUCAAAACAAUCUCCCAAACCUUCAUCCUCACUCUCCAUUUUCAUCGUCCUCUCCGCUGGUCUGAUGACAAUAAGCGUUGCCCCAUUCAUCACACGCCCAGAAGCUGGCAACUCUAGGACGGGCACAUGCCACAGUUUCACACGCACUGCUGGAACCAUUGUUCUCUCCACUGGUGCUGUGGGGUUCAUGCUUCUUCUCAGCUCCUUGAAUUGUUCUUCUCCCAUGAUCAGCCUUCCUUGUUUACUCGAAUCUGAAAUCAUUACACUCUGGGGAUUCAUGGGGAUGUCUGCAAUGAUCUGUUUCAACAACCAGUGCCUUGUGGAUGCUGCAAUCAAACUUGAUAUCAUCCACACAACUCUCGUCUUCAGCUCGUCGGUUGCCGACAUGGGCUCAUGAAGUUGCUUGUGCUUUUUGUGAGAACUUGGAGUUGAGCUACUUCUAUGGAAAGAUGUUGCCCCUAGUACCACACAGCUCUCGAGUUCUCUCCCAAACUCAGCUUUCCACCUAAGGAAAUAAUCAGUACCCUUGGACCCCAGCUCGUCGCCAUGGCAAGGAAGUUGAAUACUCAGCCUCUUAAUGUUAAUGAAAUUCCUUAGAACUUCCGUGGUAAACUGGUAUGUUUCAUCUUCAUCUGAGUUCACCGACAGUUUUGGGACGACUGUUUGGUACAGGAACUGAAGCGGUUUGGUGAUGAAUUUGCCGACCAGAUACUUUAGGAAGACGAUGAAAAAAGUACCACGCUUGGGUUUGGAGUUGUUUGAAGAAGGAACUAUGAGUGAAACAUUGUCGGUUUGGGGAAUAAGGGAAGCGAAUCGCUUGGAGACCACAGAGCACCUGCAGAGGGACUUGGCGUCCAGGACCUUGUUGAAGAUGAGGGUGACAAGCUCAUCUGAGAGGCGAUCAAAAUGAUCAUCUGGGCCUUGAUCCUCAUUCAUUCCUUAAUUUCUGUCAAAGAUGAUGAAAAGGGAGUUGGUCUUCGAUCCUCUUGUUCUGGACUAGGAUUCACCUGUGCUUCCCAUAUAUAAUAUUUGUACGUCUGUCUGUGGCGGUUCCUAGAAGGCUUUCUGGGCGGUUACGCGGCCCGAAAUUAACAGGCAAAUGUCUUUGAACCAACACGUGUUCUUUUUUUUUUUUGGGUUUAUGUUUCCUUCUUUGAAUUUGCUUUCUCAGGUUUGGUGACACCGCGGCUGGAAAAAAAAAAAAAAAAACAGAAAGAAAUUGCAGAGGAUUGCUGACAUGGCAGCCUCAUCCAACUAGCCAGGAGAUGAAUGAGACCGACUGCAUAUGAAAAGUAUGCACAUUGGAUUACCCAUUAUUAUUUGUUAAUAUAUACCUACCAGUUCUAUUCAAAGUAGGCGAGAAUGGUGGUUAUGCACAUGUAUAUAAUUGGUGUGAGUCAUGACCCAGUCAUUGAUCAGAUGAUUAAUGCGGUUGGGACCAGGGCAUUUCCCUCUUCUCUGGCAGCUGAAAACAGCCCAAACCUUCUCCUAAGUCAAUUUUACCAAGGUUUAGCAAGGGUUUAAGUGCUUUCUUAACCAAAAGUUUGUUUUGUCAUUAACAAUUGACGAAGAAUA
RNAcentral lists this long non-coding RNA (2784 nucleotides) under Vitis vinifera (wine grape). Its description in RNAcentral is "long non-coding RNA (VVIN_LNC001920)". Lineage: Eukaryota; Viridiplantae; Streptophyta; Magnoliopsida; Vitales; Vitaceae. The record is from RNAcentral.